AGGUGGUAAUUCAAUUGGAGAUACCAUAGAUGUGCUUUGUAAUACAAAAGACCUUGAAGGUGGUAUAAGUACUGGCAGCUUGGAAAGGGGUUGGCCUGUCGGUGUUGAUGCAACUGGAGAACCCCCGUAUCUUUGUUGUGGUGGGGGUGGUGGUGGGGAUGGUGAGCGCCUUUGUUGUGGUGGUGGCGGUGGUGGAGGUGGAGGUGGAGGAUGCGGUAGUGGAAGUGAAAUAGGCUGGCCUAAAACACUGCUAAUUCUGGCAUUUAGACCAAAAACACUCGAAGUCAUUACUGGUGAUGCAUCUGGGCUUUUUU
Molecule: unclassified non-coding RNA, 314 nt
Filed under: Hevea brasiliensis (rubber tree)
Lineage: Eukaryota; Viridiplantae; Streptophyta; Magnoliopsida; Malpighiales; Euphorbiaceae
Source: RNAcentral